This 73-nucleotide transfer RNA is filed under the name Acidobacteriota bacterium. Its description in RNAcentral is "Acidobacteria bacterium (activated sludge metagenome) tRNA-Phe". It matches the Rfam family "tRNA". Rfam says of the family: Transfer RNA (tRNA) molecules are approximately 80 nucleotides in length. Their secondary structure includes four short double-helical elements and three loops (D, anti-codon, and T loops). The record is from RNAcentral. Lineage: Bacteria; Pseudomonadati; Acidobacteriota.
GGCCAGGUAGCUCAGUUGGUAGAGCAACGGACUGAAAAUCCGUGUGUCGGCGGUUCGACUCCCUCCCUGGCCA